UACGGGGGGUGCGAGCGUUGUCCGGAAUCACUGGGCGUAAAGGGCGCGUAGGUGGUUUGAUAAGGGUGUGGUGAAAGUCCGGGGCUCAACCCCGGAUCUGCCGUGCCGACUGUCAAACUCGAGGGCUGUAGAGGCAGACGGAAUUCCGGGUGUAGCGGUGGAAUGCGUAGAUAUCGGGAGGAACACCUGUGGCGAAAGCGGCGCACUGGACCACAACUGACGCUGAGGCGCGAAAGCUAGGGGAGCAAACAGG
Molecule: ribosomal RNA, 253 nt
Filed under: uncultured bacterium
Lineage: Bacteria
Description: partial 16S ribosomal RNA
Rfam family: Bacterial small subunit ribosomal RNA
Source: RNAcentral